CCCGGGACCGGCCGACCGGACGGGUAGGUAACGCGUACGCAACUUGCCUAUCAGGAGGGGAUAACCCGGCGAAAGUCGGACUAAUACCGCAUGAAGCAGGGGCCCCGCAUGGGGAUAUUUGCUAAAGAUUCAUCGCUGAUAGAUAGGCAUGCGUUCCAUUAGGCAGUUGGCGGGGUAACGGCCCACCAAACCGACGAUGGAUAGGGGUUCUGAGAGGAAGGUCCCCCACAUUGGACUGAGACACGGCCAA
This 250-nucleotide ribosomal RNA is filed under the name uncultured bacterium. RNAcentral's name for it is "partial 16S ribosomal RNA". It matches the Rfam family "Bacterial small subunit ribosomal RNA", at positions 100 to 334 of the family's 1533-position model. The record is from RNAcentral.